GACGAACGCUGGCGGCGUGCCUAACACAUGCAAGUCGAGCGGAGAUAAGCGGAUGGUAACUGAAGUUUGUCUUAGCGGCGGACGGGUGAGUAACACGUGGGCAACCUGCCUUGGAGUGGGGGAUAACACCGGGAAAUCGGUGCUAAUACCGCAUAACAUACACAAACUGCAUGGUAAGUGUAUCAAAGGAGCAAUCCGCUUUUAAGAUGGGCCCCGGCUGAUUAGCUAAGUUGGUAAGGUAACGGCUUACCAAGGCGACGAUCAGUAGCCGACCUGAGAGGGUGACCGGCCACACUGGAACUGAGACACGGUCCAGACUCCUACGGGAGGCAGCAGUGGGGAAUAUUGCGCAAUGGGGGAACCCUGACGCAGCAACGCCGCGUGGAGGAAGAAGGUCUUCGGAUUUGGUAAACUCCUAGUCUUCUGGGACGAAGUAUGACGGUACCAGAGGAGGAAGCCAACGGCUAACUACGUG
This 475-nucleotide ribosomal RNA is filed under the name uncultured bacterium. Its description in RNAcentral is "bacterial SSU rRNA". It matches the Rfam family "Bacterial small subunit ribosomal RNA", at positions 28 to 507 of the family's 1533-position model. The record is from RNAcentral.